GUUAACAUCUCUUCAGCACAAAUGCCUGCAAGAACAGUCCAGGAACAAACUGUCUUUGUGGAUAUUUCAAUAUUGCUGCCUCUUUCUGUGCAGGCAAGAAAGGAUUCCUUUCCAAAAUGGGAAGGAAAAGUGCAACAUUCUGGAUAUUUCUAAAGGAGAAAAAUAAGCAGACCUCCUUACUAUGGGCUUGGCCAAGUGUUGGUGCUGACACAGAGGGAAUGAUGGUGUGGCUAUAGACUUGACCUGUGAAAGGCAGAGGCUGGCAGCACAGAUCUUUCUGGAAACAGCUAGCUGUUAGAUUGCCAGACUCAUCAUAAAAGUGCCCAAGUUACCUAUGCAGCAGCAGACUGCAGCAGAAGGUAUUUUUAUCCUCAGCAUUUGGUACAGCAACAACGCAUCUCACAAAAGAAAUCCAGCAUCGGUUCUGAUCAUAUUUAAACUAUCAGGAACUGAGUCAUAUCCCAGUCUGGAAGGAGGAGUGGAUAAGGAACCAGUUUCCCUUUCACAGCAAAAAGAACCAUGAAUUUAAGUUAUUUUUCUUGCUUUGAAGUCCUAAAUACCUUGGCAAUAAAUUGCAGCAUCAUGUCAGAUCUUCCAAAUGGGAUGGGAGCAGCCCACAGAGCCUACGGACCACACUUCCUGCACAGACUGCCUCCUGCCUGCCAACCAUGGCAGC
This is a long non-coding RNA of Pezoporus occidentalis (night parrot), 676 nucleotides long. RefSeq lists it as uncharacterized. The transcript has 3 exons. Lineage: Eukaryota; Metazoa; Chordata; Aves; Psittaciformes; Psittacidae. The record is from RefSeq and is a predicted model, not a curated record.